This 4239-nucleotide long non-coding RNA is filed under the name Solanum tuberosum (potato). RNAcentral describes it as "long non-coding RNA (STUB_LNC004873)". Lineage: Eukaryota; Viridiplantae; Streptophyta; Magnoliopsida; Solanales; Solanaceae. The record is from RNAcentral.
CUUGGUUGUUUUGUGGGGCUAAUCACUAGAAGGUCUUCUGUGACUGGAUGAUGACUCUGCUGAAGUAGUUGAAAUAAUUCUACUUCUGAUAGAAUCUCUCUGCUGUUAGACAACUAUAAUUAAUCACUUAUCUAGAUUUUCUUUUGUUUCCUCUCAAAGUUACGAUUCCACAGAUGCUCAUGAUAUCUUCAAUGGCAAUAUUGGGAACUUAACCAUUUAUUAAGCUUUGAUAUUUUCUGUGUAGUCUGUAGUAGAACAUUUGCCCGGAUUCAGGCUAAAAGUGUACUAAUCUUUCUGGGAAACAUAUUUACUCCUUAAUGAUGAACCUCAGGUAUGAUGCCCAACAUAAACUAUGGUUUUCAAAAGGCUCCUUAAUCUCUUAGGAGAGACUGAAACGCUACUUCUGUGAGGGAUGGCUAGUUUUAUCUGGUACAACUAGCCUAUAAACUUCCUAAAAUAACGACAUAAAUGACCAAGUACAGGACAAAAAAGAUCUUAUUUGAUAAUGUCAACAUUAAGUUUAUAGAGAUCAUAUCCUGUUGCCUCAAAUACAGAAUGUACAAGAUAUUGAGAAUAAAAAACUCUAAAACUUCUUUCUUAAACUUAUUGUGCCUAUAAAGUAUAAAGCAGCGCCGUUAGACCUUUAAAUUGGGGUCCCAAUUUAUCGAGCUACAAUGGUAAAAACAAAUAAAUUUUCUGAAAUUUUAAACUAAUUAAUGAGAAAACUAAGAUAUGUUCAGCAAAAUAAAAGGACUCAAUAAUUUUAUUAAAUGGAAUGCGAUGCAGCAAAAGCAAGUUGAUUGCUCCUGGAUUUGUCCUAUCUACUGAAAUUUUUUAACACCAUCAUCCAAUUAAAAAAAAUCUUAAAGUAAAGAUUAAAAAAAAGAGACAGUAUAAUUAUAUAGUUAAAUAGUGCUGCAAAAUUCCAAGUUACAAAAUCCCAGAUAUGUCAAGGAAAAGUGCGAGUAAGUUUAUAUGUAUUAGGAUGCUUUCAUUUUAUGCAGAUGUAGCAUAUCAACUUAAAUGAGUAUUGCAUACAUAAUUUCCUAGCUCCACUCCUUCUCCUGCAUACAAGCUCUCGGAAUCCUAACUUAUAUCUUGUGCACCUAUGGAUUUAAAACAUUUAAAACUUCAAACUAUUCUUUGUGUCUAUUCCUGAUACUGUGAUAAUUUCCUGAAAUCCUCUUGUGUUAUGUAUUUCAGGUUCUAAAUUUAUGUCUAGCCUUAGUUGUAAAAGUAGAAAUUCAAGAAGAUUGUCUCUGUAUAGGCUACAUUAUCAGGCUAAAGAAUGUACCUUUUAGGUGAACCAUCUUCAUGAUACUUUCAAUGCAACACUUUCUCAUGCACCUACACAAGGCUUGAGUUCUUUUUGAAUGGUCUACAUCUAUGAAAGAGAUGUCUUACCAUUGUCUCAACUCUCAUGACAUAUUGAUUUUUCAUUGUGUGUGUCUAUCAAAAGAUUUAAUGUCCAGUGUGCAAUUUAAUGAACUUACCUGAUUGGUUAAGUUUUACUCUAGUCCAUCUUGUGAGCUGUUUGUCCCGGUGCACUUUUGUUUUUAAAAGGAGAAAAAGUGAAUAUAAGUUCACAAAGCCAGAGGAUUGGCUUCUUGGGUUGUUCUUUCCUUUUACCACUUAGAGUGAUUCUUGUACUCAAUGUGAAAGUGUUUCACAUAUUCUUGUAUUUUGGUGUUUUGAUAUUCUCACAAAGGCUUGGACCUGGUCCAAGGUAGAAUAGCCUUCGGUCAAGUAUGAAUGGUGAACAACUGUAAAGCUGUCUUGUCAGUGGUUGGUGAGAAGGACAGUGUACUCCUCCAAUGAGAAUGGACGAGGUUGUUUGUUCAACGGAUAAUACAUCCUUGGUUGAUUGAUAUAUUCAACACAACAAAUAUUAUUCAUUCAAAAAGUGUGAUAUUUUGUCUCGGAAGAACUCAAGUUUUAACACGCACACAACAAGGGACCUGAUAGAGCUACCAAAUAUAGGAACACAGUUUGAGUUGAUUGUGUGUCUUGUAAGUGAAGUCUAUAUUAAUUAGAGUUAGGUAAUAUAGUGGGCAAUGGAGGCAUUGCUUUGGCUCGUUUAAGUAAUAGAGUUAUUACUUGUAGUGAGAUUAAGAGUUUAAUCUCGUGUGGUGAUUACUUGUAGUGAGAUUAAGAGUUUAAUCUCGUGUGGUGAUUACUUGUAGUGAGAUUAAGAGUUUAAUCUCGUGUGGUGAUUACUUGUAGUGAGAUUAAGAGUUUAAUCUCGUGUGGUGAUUACUUGUAGUGAGAUUAAGAGUUUAAUCUCGUGUGGUGAUUACUUGUAGUGAGAUUAAGAGUUUAAUCUCGUGUGGUGAUUACUUGUAGUGAGAUUAAGAGUUUAAUCUCGUGUGGUGAUUACUUGUAGUGAGAUUAAGAGUUUAAUCUCGUGUGGUGAUUACUUGUAGUGAGAUUAAGAGUUUAAUCUCGUGUGGUGAUUACUUGUAGUGAGAUUAAGAGUUUAAUCUCGUGUGGUGAUUACUUGUAGUGAGAUUAAGAGUUUAAUCUCGUGUGGUGAUUACUUGUAGUGAGAUUAAGAGUUUAAUCUCGUGUGGUGAUUACUUGUAGUGAGAUUAAGAGUUUAAUCUCGUGUGGUGAUUACUUGUAGUGAGAUUAAGAGUUUAAUCUCGUGUGGUGAUUACUUGUAGUGAGAUUAAGAGUUUAAUCUCGUGUGGUGAUUACUUGUAGUGAGAUUAAGAGUUUAAUCUCGUGUGGUGAUUACUUGUAGUGAGAUUAAGAGUUUAAUCUCGUGUGGUGAUUACUUGUAGUGAGAUUAAGAGUUUAAUCUCGUGUGGUGAUUACUUGUAGUGAGAUUAAGAGUUUAAUCUCGUGUGGUGAUUACUUGUAGUGAGAUUAAGAGUUUAAUCUCGUGUGGUGAUUACUUGUAGUGAGAUUAAGAGUUUAAUCUCGUGUGGUGAUUACUUGUAGUGAGAUUAAGAGUUUAAUCUCGUGUGGUGAUUACUUGUAGUGAGAUUAAGAGUUUAAUCUCGUGUGGUGUAUUUGAAGCCUGUAUUCACUUAUUGCUUGAUAUUAGUGAAAACAGUUGGAAAUCCUUGAUAGCUCUAUCAGGUCCCUUGCGGUGUGCAUGUUAAAGCUUGAGUUCUUCCGAGACAAUAUCACACUUUUUGAAUGAAUAAUAUUUGUUGUGUUGAAUGUAUCAAUCAACCAAGGAUGUAUUAUCUGUUGAACAAACAACCUCGUUCAUUCUCAUUGGAGGAGUACACCGUCCUUCUCACCAACCACUAACAAGACAGCUUUACAGUUGUUCACCAUUCAUACUUGGACAAAGGCUAUUCUACCUUGGACCAGGUCCCAACCUUUGUGAGAAUCAUCAAAACACUGAAAUACUACAUAUGGCAACAAGGGAACGGAGAUAGGGGGAAUGAUAACGAUAUGAAUGAAUAAUUACAUGCAGGAGCUGUUUGUUUUUCAUCAUCAAAAAGGGGGAAAAUGUGAAAACUCCUUGCCUUUACUGUUCUUCUUAAUUUCUUUUACUGCAUUCCAGUAUACCUUCAACCUGGUACUAUAGCACACUGUGAGUUAGCAUACAUCAAUACGUAUUUCACUUGCACUUCUCCGGUUACUAAUUUGGUUGCCAUUUCUUUAAUCAAUAGGUCUUUCAUCUCUUUUGCUAGUGAUAUAUAUUGUGUUCAUUUCUGUGCUUUCCUUAUGGACUCGUCAUUUUUUUUUUCCUAGGACAUUCCUGUUACUGAUAGACUAAAAUGUGGAUCAACAGACUGUUACUGGAAUUCCAAUGGUAUCAGUAAACUCGGUUGGAUUAACUAAGCAUCUUACUUUGAAUAUGGUGGCCUCCUUGAAUUUGAGUAUAAUAGAGGUUCUUUGAUUGUAGCUUCAAUGUUGCAUCCUUGCUUCUGGCUUGCUAACUGCAAAGCUUGUUGUAAAUAUUACUUUGGCUUCUUAGAUCUUUUGUAAAUUUUUGCUUUAAGCCAUGUCUUCUUUCAGUCAAUGUAUCAAUAUUCCAUGUGAUCUUCUCGUGAUGUGUGUUCCUCAAGAGGGAUGCUUCUAUAUGCCAUCUUUGAUGCUGCGUCUCAAUCUGAUGAGAUAAUUUGGUUGUUUGGUGUUGUCUCUCCGUUAGCGUAGAAACACUUAUCUCAUAAUUGAUAAUGUCAAGUGUCUAUUGUUAAAAACUUUAUGAUAUGCUUGUUUAAAAACCAAUUAUCAUGUGCGAAAUUAUAUAGAAGAUCCCCUUUAAGAUAAAAUAAU